Molecule: long non-coding RNA, 999 nt
Filed under: Salmo salar (Atlantic salmon)
Lineage: Eukaryota; Metazoa; Chordata; Actinopteri; Salmoniformes; Salmonidae
Description: lncRNA (ENSSSAG00000087688.1, ENSSSAG00000105514.1)
Source: RNAcentral
GGGUGUAUAAUGGGAAUAACAUCUGGUUUGUUUCUCAGGGUGUAUAAUGGGAAUAACAUCUGGUUUGUUUCUCAGGGUGUAUAAUUGGAAUAACAUCUGGUUUGUUUCUCAGGGUGUAUAAUGGGAAUAUGGCAGUGUGUCUCUGACAGUCACUUAGGGAGAUACUGUAUCUCUCUACACACACACACACACACACACACACACACACACACACACACACACACACACAGAGUGAUGGCAGGCCGUGGGGAAGUUGUUUUGGCCCUCAGCCAGGUCAUUUACUAGAGCGAUUCAAGUUUUACGUUUUAAUGUUAAAAUGCAGUGAAGACAGUGAAAAGCCUUUCCUGCUCUAAACCCAACGAUGCGGUGACCAACGUCAAUACAAAACACAACAGGUAAGAAGCCACUCUGAACGUCAAUACAAAACACAACAGGUAAGAAGCCACUCUGAACGUCAAUACAAAACACAACAGGUAAGAAGCUACUCUGAACGUCAAUACAAAACACAACAGGUAAGAAGCUACUCUGAACGUCAAUACAAAACACAACAGGUAAGAAGCCACUCUGAACGUCAAUACAAAACACAACAGGUAAGAAGCCACUCUGAACGUCAAUACAAAACACAACAGGUAAGAAGCCACUCUGAACGUCAAUACAAAACACAACAGGUAAGAAGCCACUCUGAACGUCAAUACAAAACACAACAGGUAAGAAGCUACUCUGAACGUCAAUACAAAACACAACAGGUAAGAAGCCGCUCUGAACGUCUAAAUGUUGACUCUCCCUCUCUUCUCCUCAUCUCUUCUCUCUCUACUCCUGUCUCCUCUCCCCUGUCUUUUCUCUCCUCUCCUCUCCUUUCCUCUAUCUGAAGGUGACAGUGUGGAACCAGACUCCAAUCACUCUGUUUCGCUCUGUUCCUAUUGAGAGGCGCACACACACCCUGCUUCCCAAACACCCACACCAGACAGACAGACAGACAGACAGACAGACAGACAGACA